Molecule: ribosomal RNA, 279 nt
Filed under: uncultured bacterium
Lineage: Bacteria
Description: partial 16S ribosomal RNA
Rfam family: Bacterial small subunit ribosomal RNA
Source: RNAcentral
UGCCAGCAGCCGCGGUAAUACGGAGGGGGCUAGCGUUGUUCGGAAUUACUGGGCGUAAAGGGCGUGUAGGCGGCGUAUUUAGUUGGGCGUGAAAGCCCCGGGCUCAACCUGGGAACUGCGCUCAAUACUGAUAUGCUAGAGUCCGGGAGAGGCGAGUGGAAUAUCCAGUGUAGAGGUGAAAUUCGUAGAUAUUGGAUGGAACACCUAUGGCGAAGGCAGCUCGCUGGACCGGAACUGACGCUGAGGCGCGAAAGCGUGGGGAGCAAACAGGAUUAGAUA